Molecule: unclassified non-coding RNA, 362 nt
Filed under: soil metagenome
Description: partial contains 5.8S ribosomal RNA, internal transcribed spacer 2, and large subunit ribosomal RNA
Rfam family: 5.8S ribosomal RNA (bases 1-120)
Source: RNAcentral
GAUGAAGAACGCAGCGAAAUGCGAUAAGUAAUGUGAAUUGUAGAAUUCAGUGAAUCAUCGAAUCUUUGAACGCACCUUGCGCUCCUUGGUAUUCCGAGGAGCAUGCCUGUUUGAGUGUCAUUAAUAUAUCAACCUUCUCUUUUUUGAGUUGUUUGGAUGUGGGGGUUUGCUGGCCUCUUAAAUGAUUCAGCUCCCCUGAAAUGCAUUAGCAGAACAACCUGUUCAUUAGCGUGAUAAUUAUCUAUGCUAUUGAAUGUGAGGGCAGUUCAGCUUUCUAACCGUCCUUGGACAAUUCAUCAUUAAUGUGACCUCAAAUCAGGUAGGACUACCCGCUGAACUUAAGCAUAUCAAUAAGCGGAGGA